GCGAGCGUAACUCAGUUGGUAGAGUGUCAGCUUCCCAAGCUGAAUGUCGCGGGUUCGAAUCCCGUCGCUCGCUC
RNAcentral lists this transfer RNA (74 nucleotides) under bacterium BMS3Abin04. RNAcentral describes it as "tRNA-Gly". It matches the Rfam family "tRNA". From Rfam's summary of the family: Transfer RNA (tRNA) molecules are approximately 80 nucleotides in length. The record is from RNAcentral. RNAcentral also lists the same sequence under 1 other name.